GGAGAGGUGGCCGAGUGGCUGAAGGCGCACGCUUGGAAAGCGUGUAUACGAGCGAUCGUAUCGAGGGUUCGAAUCCCUCUCUCUCCGCCA
Molecule: transfer RNA, 90 nt
Filed under: Alphaproteobacteria bacterium MarineAlpha2_Bin1
Lineage: Bacteria; Pseudomonadati; Pseudomonadota; Alphaproteobacteria
Description: tRNA-Ser
Rfam family: tRNA
About the family: Transfer RNA (tRNA) molecules are approximately 80 nucleotides in length.
Source: RNAcentral